UUGUGGUCAAAAAGCUCGUAGUUGGAUCUCAACAGCCUUGAAGACGGUUAACUUUGUAGUUUUACUGCUUUAUAGGCUGUGCUUUUGCUGGAGGUUUAGGGGUGCUCUUGAUCGAGUGUCUCUGGAUGCCAGCAGGUUUACUUUGAAAAAAUUAGAGUGCUCAAAGCAGGCUAAAAUGCCUGAAUAUUCGUGCAUGGAAUAAUAGAAUAGGAUGUCGAUCCUAUUUUGUUGGUUUUCGGGACUCGACAUAAUGAUAAAUAGGGACAGUCGGGGG
This 274-nucleotide ribosomal RNA is filed under the name uncultured marine eukaryote. RNAcentral's name for it is "partial 18S ribosomal RNA". It matches the Rfam family "Eukaryotic small subunit ribosomal RNA", at positions 613 to 888 of the family's 1831-position model. The record is from RNAcentral.